RNAcentral lists this ribosomal RNA (253 nucleotides) under uncultured bacterium. RNAcentral describes it as "partial 16S ribosomal RNA". It matches the Rfam family "Bacterial small subunit ribosomal RNA", at positions 524 to 776 of the family's 1533-position model. The record is from RNAcentral.
GACAGAGGUGCCGAGCGUUAGGCGGAAUCACUGGGCUUAAAGCGUGUGUAGGCGGAUCGUUAAGUACCUUGUGAAAUCCCAUGGCUCAACCAUGGAACUGCUUGGUAUACUGGCGGUCUUGAGCCAGCUAGGGGCUACCGGAACAAAUGGUGGAGCGGUGAAAUGCGUAGAUAUCAUUUGGAACGCCAAUGGUGAAAACAGGUAGCUGGGGCUGUGCUGACGCUGAGACACGAAAGCCAGGGGAGCGAACGGG